This 375-nucleotide ribosomal RNA is filed under the name uncultured bacterium. RNAcentral describes it as "bacterial SSU rRNA". It matches the Rfam family "Bacterial small subunit ribosomal RNA", at positions 30 to 416 of the family's 1533-position model. The record is from RNAcentral.
AUUGAACGCUGGCGGCAGGCCUAACACAUGCAAGUCGAGCGGGGUUUUCGGACCUAGCGGCGGACGGGUGAGUAAUGCGUAGGAAGCUACCCGACAGAGGGGGAUACCAGUUGGAAACGACUGUUAAUACCCGCAUAAUGUCUACGGACCAAAGUGUGGGACCUUCGGGCCACAUGCUGUCGGAUGCGCCUACGUGGGAUUAGCUAGUUGGUGAGGUAAUGGCUCACCAAGGCGACGAUCCCUAGCUGGUUUGAGAGGAUGAUCAGCCACACUGGAACUGAGACACGGUCCAGACUCCUACGGGAGGCAGCAGUGGGGAAUAUUGGACAAUGGGCGCAAGCCUGAUCCAGCCAUGCCGCGUGUGUGAAGAAGGCC